RNAcentral lists this ribosomal RNA (401 nucleotides) under uncultured bacterium. Its description in RNAcentral is "bacterial SSU rRNA". It matches the Rfam family "Bacterial small subunit ribosomal RNA", at positions 381 to 774 of the family's 1533-position model. The record is from RNAcentral.
GUCUGAUGGAGCAACGCCGCGUGAGUGAAGAAGGUUUUCGGAUCGUAAAACUCUGUUGUUGGAGAAGAACACGUUUGAGAGUAACUGUUCAGACGUUGACGGUAUCCAACCAGAAAGCCACGGCUAACUACGUGCCAGCAGCCGCGGUAAUACGUAGGGAGCAAGCGUUAUCCGGAUUUAUUGGGUGUAAAGGGUGCGUAGACGGACAUGCAAGUUGGCUGUGAAAUCCCGAGGCUCAACCUCGGAACUGCAACCAAAACUACAUAUCUUGAGUACUGGAGGGGAAAGCGGAAUUCCUAGUGUAGCGGUGAAAUGCGUAGAUAUUAGGAAGAACACCGGUGGCGAAGGCGGCUUUCUGGACAGCAACUGACGUUGAGGCACGAAAGUGUGGGUAGCAAACA